GUUUGUUUGGAGUUAUAAAGAAUCUAACCUGCCCACUGAAUAUUAAUUUGAAGGGCCGCAGUAUUUUAACUGUGCAAAGGUAGCAUAAUCAUUAGAUUUUUAAUUGUAAUCUUGUAUGAAUGGUUGGACAAAAGAAGAACUCUCUUUAUAUUAAAUUUGAAUUUAACUUUUAAGUGAAAAGGCUUAAAUGUUCUAAAGGGACGAUAAGACCCUAUAAAACUUUACAUUGUAAUUAGUAUUUAAUUGAAUUUAUAGUAAAGAUUUAAUUUAAUUAUUUGUUUUGUUGGGGAGACAUAGGUAAAAUUUAUUUUAACUGCUUAAUAGAUUAAACAAUUAUUUAUGGGUAAGAUAGAAGAUCCUUUAUAGAGAAUAAUAGGUUAAGUUACUUUAGGGAUAACAGCGUAAUUUCUUUUGAGAGUUCUUAUCGAGAAAGGAGAUUGCGACCUCGAUGUUGAAUUAAAUAUUCUAUAUAAUGGAGAAGUUAUAUAAGAAGGUCUGUUCGACCUUUAAAUUUUUACAUGAUUUGAGUUCAAACCGGUGUAAG
RNAcentral lists this ribosomal RNA (544 nucleotides) under Terrapotamon abbotti. Its description in RNAcentral is "16S rRNA". It matches the Rfam family "Bacterial large subunit ribosomal RNA", at positions 1831 to 2625 of the family's 2925-position model. Lineage: Eukaryota; Metazoa; Arthropoda; Malacostraca; Decapoda; Potamidae. The record is from RNAcentral.